Molecule: small RNA, 704 nt
Filed under: Pan troglodytes (chimpanzee)
Lineage: Eukaryota; Metazoa; Chordata; Mammalia; Primates; Hominidae
Description: retained intron
Source: RNAcentral
GUGCGGGGUGUCGGGGCGCGCGCGCCUGUUGGCCGCUCGCCGACGGGGCCCAGAGCCGCCGAUUCCUGCCGAGUGUAGAGAGGAGAGAGUGAACAGGGAGCGGGGCUUUUGUCUGUUGGUCUCCCUGGACUGAAGAGAGGGAGAAUAGAAGCCCAAGACUAAGAUUCUCAAAAUGGUUUAUUACCCAGAACUCUUUGUCUGGGUCAGUCAAGAACCAUUUCUAAACAAGGACAUGGAGGGAAGGCUUCCUAAGGUAAGAUCCUUAGAUGCCAUUUUGUUAACACUAUUUUCAAUAUAGAAACAAUUGUUUUAAAAUAUCAGAGCUUUUUCAUUUGAAUACCCAUUAUAGGCUGCUAUAACAAUCCAUUAAUCUGAUACUAUGAUGACCUUGGAAAGAAUGUACUUUUAAAAAAUAUCCUAAAGUCCUAUGACUUAAAGUUCACAUUAUCUUCCUUCAUAAAUGAAAAAUUUUCAUUUAAAACAUGGAAUCAGUUUAGCAAAGUACAGUGUACAGGUUUUAAAUCUGUUCCACUUCUGGUUAGACAAACUCAAAUACAAUGAUCAAACUAAAAGAUUUCUUAAAAGUAUAAGAUGACUAUUAAUUGUCUGCUAAUAAAGUCUGAAGGUCUGAUAAGAUUAUCCAUGAAGCAAAAGGGAGGAACAAAAAACUGUUACAUUUCUUUCUUCUAAUUAAUUUUUCAGCC